Molecule: ribosomal RNA, 378 nt
Filed under: Microbacterium sp. 1 HAW M1
Lineage: Bacteria; Bacillati; Actinomycetota; Actinomycetes; Micrococcales; Microbacteriaceae
Description: bacterial SSU rRNA
Rfam family: Bacterial small subunit ribosomal RNA
Source: RNAcentral
UAAUACUGGAUACGAGCUGCGAAGGCAUCUUCAGCAGCUGGAAAGAACUUCGGUCAGGGAUGAGCUCGCGGCCUAUCAGCUUGUUGGUGANNUAACGGCUCACCAAGGCGUCGACGGGUAGCCGGCCUGAGAGGGUGACCGGCCACACUGGGACUGAGACACGGCCCAGACUCCUACGGGAGGCAGCAGUGNGGAAUAUUGCACAAUGGGCGAAAGCCUGAUGCAGCAACGCCGCGUGAGGGACGACGGCCUUCGGGUUGUAAACCUCUUUUAGCAGGGAAGAAGCGAAAGUGACGGUACCUGCAGAAAAAGCGCCGGCUAACUACGUGCCAGCAGCCGCGGUAAUACGUAGGGCGCAAGCGUUAUCCGGAAUUAUUG